CCUACGGGCGGCAGCAGUGAGGAAUAUUGGUCAAUGGCCGGAAGGCUGAACCAGCUAUGCCGCGUGAAGGUCAGUGCCCUAUGGGCGUUAAACUUCUUUUGUGCGGGAGCAAUAAUGGUCACGUGUGGCCAGACGAGAGUACCGUACGAAUAAGCAUCGGCUAACUCCGUGCCAGCAGCCGCGGUCAUACGGGGGAGGCAAGCGUUAUCCGGAUUUAUUGGGUUUAAAGGGUGCGUAGGCUGUGAGGUGAGUAAGCGGUGAAAUGCCCCCGCUCAACGGGGUGAAGUGCCAAUGAUACUGCCGUGCUGGAAUGCGGAUGCCGUGGGAGGAAUGUGUGGUGUAGCGGUGAAAUGCAUAGAUAUCACACAGAACACCGAUUGCGAAGGCAUCUCACGAAGCCGCGAUUGACGCUGAUGCACGAAAGCGUGGGUAUCAAACAGGAUUAGAUACCCGGGUAGUC
This 460-nucleotide ribosomal RNA is filed under the name uncultured bacterium. Its description in RNAcentral is "partial 16S ribosomal RNA". It matches the Rfam family "Bacterial small subunit ribosomal RNA", at positions 338 to 795 of the family's 1533-position model. The record is from RNAcentral.